UCGAGAGGCUUUGGCAAUGGGGGAAACCCUGACCAAGCGACGCCGCGUGGAGGAUGAAGGCCCUUGGGUUGUAAACUCCUUUUGUUGGGGAAGAACUGCGAUCAGGUGAACAAUCUGGUCGUUUGACGGUACCCGACGAAUAAGCUCCGGCUAACUCCGUGCCAGCAGCCGCGGUAACACGGGGGGAGCAAGCGUUGUUCGGAAUCACUGGGCGUAAAGGGCGUGUAGGCGGUCAAGUAAGUGGGAUGUGAAAUGCCCCGGCUCACCCGGGGACCUGCAUCCCAAACUGCUUGGCUCGAGUAUGGGAGAGGAUGAGGGAAUUCCUGGUGUAGCGGUGAAAUGCGUAGAUAUCAGGAGGAACACCGGUGGCGAAAGCGCUCAUCUGGCCCAAUACUGACGCUGAGGCGCGAAAGCUAGGGGAGCAAACGGG
Molecule: ribosomal RNA, 430 nt
Filed under: uncultured Latescibacterota bacterium
Lineage: Bacteria; Pseudomonadati; Candidatus Latescibacterota
Description: bacterial SSU rRNA
Rfam family: Bacterial small subunit ribosomal RNA
Source: RNAcentral